ACAAAACGCCGGGCGCCCAUCUCGCUUCCUGCGGGCCGCCGGCGCUUGAUUCGGGUUCGCCAUUCUGGGCCGCGUGAUAUCCCGGUGCCGGCUGG
Molecule: small RNA, 95 nt
Filed under: Sinorhizobium meliloti 2011
Lineage: Bacteria; Pseudomonadati; Pseudomonadota; Alphaproteobacteria; Hyphomicrobiales; Rhizobiaceae
Description: putative ncRNA
Source: RNAcentral